GAUGAACGCUGGCGGCGUGCCUAAUACAUGCAAGUCGAGCGAACAGAUGAGGAGCUUGCUCCUCUGACGUUAGCGGCGGACGGGUGAGUAACACGUGGAUAACCUACCUAUAAGACUGGGAUAACUUCGGGAAACCGGAGCUAAUACCGGAUAAUAUAUUGAACCGCAUGGUUCAAUAGUGAAAGACGGUUUGCUUUCACUUAUUGAUGGAUCCGCGCCGCAUUAGCUAGUUGGUAAGGUAACGGCUUACCAAGGCAACGAUGCGUAGCCGACCUGAGAGGGUGAUCGGCCACACUGGAACUGAGACACGGUCCAGACUCCUACGGGAGGCAGCAGUAGGGAAUCUUCCGCAAUGGGCGAAAGCCUGACGGAGCAACGCCGCGUGAGCGAUGAAGGUCUUCGGAUCGUAAAACUCUGUUAUUAGGGAAGAACAAAUGUGUAAGUAACUAUGCACGUCUUGACGGUACCUAAUCAGAAAGCCACGGCUAACUACGUG
RNAcentral lists this ribosomal RNA (496 nucleotides) under uncultured bacterium. RNAcentral describes it as "partial 16S ribosomal RNA". It matches the Rfam family "Bacterial small subunit ribosomal RNA", at positions 28 to 507 of the family's 1533-position model. The record is from RNAcentral.